This 469-nucleotide unclassified non-coding RNA is filed under the name Priapulus caudatus. RNAcentral describes it as "uncharacterized LOC106811565, transcript variant X1". Lineage: Eukaryota; Metazoa; Priapulida; Priapulimorpha; Priapulimorphida; Priapulidae. The record is from RNAcentral.
UUUUGGCUAUGCGAGCAACUGUUUUGGAGUGUGUUGAACAGUGAUUUACAUGUACAUAAUCUGUGUGCGUCUAUUUUGCAAGUUGUUCUAACGCAGGCGUUACCAAGUACCAGUACUCAAACGCAGCAGCGAGCACAAUUUAACGUCUGUGAUUUUGCCGGCAGCCCUGUGAAGCAGCCCAUCAAAGUUUGGGGCCAGCGGGCCGUAGAGAUAGCAGUGAGUGACGGGGAUGAGGUGGACAUUGAAAACUUGGAGAUCGGCAUAUUCGGGUCACAAAAGAAAGCUACUUUCACCAAAAGUACUAAGAUACAGGUUACAUCAGUGUCAGAUGAAGGGGAACGGCAGGGAAUACUGAGAGGAUUUGACAUUGAAGGGUAUGUAGAGUAUAAUUGUAGUAGUAUUAGCAAAUGAAUUUGGUGUUGUAAACACACACACAUGACGUUUAGACAGAUAAUUAGUGGUCGAUACA